GGAUGUGAGGGUGAUCUGUCUGUGCCAUCUGUCACCCCAUUGGUUGUCCAAGUUAAUUCGGCUGAUCUGGCUGGCUAGGCAGGUGUUCCCUUCCUCCCUCACCACUCCAUGUGUGUCCCUCCCAAAGCUGUGCUCGAUGGAAGAGGAUUACCAUUCCCGAGAGAGGAGGACUAGUCUUCGGUCAAGUGUAUACGGGUAGCUGUGCUCCCCUGCUAGAACCUCCAAACAAUCUCUCAAGGUCCACCAGUCCCACUCCCAUGACAACCCACUAAUCCAUUGACCCAUUAAUCCAUGAAUGGAUUAAU
Unclassified non-coding RNA from Piliocolobus tephrosceles (Ugandan red Colobus), 305 nucleotides. Its record names the gene 7SK. It matches the Rfam family "7SK RNA". Rfam says of the family: 7SK was discovered as an abundant small nuclear RNA in the mid-70s but a possible function has only recently been suggested. The record is from Ensembl. NCBI's taxonomy places the organism in Eukaryota, Metazoa, Chordata, Mammalia, Primates, Cercopithecidae.